This 447-nucleotide ribosomal RNA is filed under the name uncultured bacterium. RNAcentral describes it as "bacterial SSU rRNA". It matches the Rfam family "Bacterial small subunit ribosomal RNA", at positions 29 to 524 of the family's 1533-position model. The record is from RNAcentral.
AGCGAACGCUGGCGGCAGGCCUAAUACAUGCAAGUCGAACGGCUCUUCGGAGCAGUGGCGGACGGGUGAGUAACGCGUGGGAAUGUGCCCUUUGGUACGGAACAACACAGGGAAACUUGUGCUAAUACCGUAUGUGCCCUUCGGGGGAAAGAUUUAUCGCCAUUGGAGCAGCCCGCGUUGGAUUAGGUAGUUGGUGAGGUAAAGGCUCACCAAGCCUACGAUCCAUAGCUGGUCUGAGAGGAUGACCAGCCACACUGGGACUGAGACACGGCCCAGACUCCUACGGGAGGCAGCAGUAGGGAAUCUUGCGCAAUGGGCGAAAGCCUGACGCAGCCAUGCUGCGUGUAUGAUGAAGGUCUUAGGAUUGUAAAUACUUUCACCGGGGAAGAUAAUGACGGUACCCGGAGAAGAAGCCCCGGCUAACUUCGUGCCAGCAGCCGCGGUAAU